Molecule: ribosomal RNA, 444 nt
Filed under: uncultured bacterium
Lineage: Bacteria
Description: partial 16S ribosomal RNA
Rfam family: Bacterial small subunit ribosomal RNA
Source: RNAcentral
AGGGAAUCUUCGGCAAUGGACGGAAGUCUGACCGAGCAACGCCGCGUGAGUGAAGAAGGUUUUCGGAUCGUAAAACUCUGUUGUUAGAGAAGAACAAGGAUGAGAAGAGAAUGUUCAUCCCUUGACGGUAUCUAACCAGAAAGCCACGGCUAACUACGUGCCAGCAGCCGCGGUAAUACGUAGGUGGCAAGCGUUGUCCGGAUUUAUUGGGCGUAAAGCGAGCGCAGGCGGUUCUUUAAGUCUGAUGUGAAAGCCCCCGGCUCAACCGGGGAGGGUCAUUGGAAACUGGGGAACUUGAGUGCAGAAGAGGAGAGUGGAAUUCCAUGUGUAGCGGUGAAAUGCGUAGAUAUAUGGAGGAACACCAGUGGCGAGGGCGGCUCUCUGGUCUGUAACUGACGCUGAGGCUCGAAAGCGUGGGGAGCAAACAGGAUUAGAUACCCUGGU